GCAGGAACUGAUGGUCAAACACUGACUGAGUCUGAAUCAGUGGUUAAAAGGCCUGGAGAAUCUCACAGACUGACCUGCACAUAUUCUGGGCUUGGCAAUCCUGGCAUGCACUGGGUCAGACAGGCAGCUGGAAAAGGACCGGAAUGGAUCGCUUAUAUCUGGUAUAACAGUGGUGGCAUCUAUUACUCCAACUCAGUAAGAGGCCGGUUCACCAUCUCCAGAGACAACAGCAAAAGUCAGGUGUAUCUGCAGAUGAACAGCCUGACAGCUGGAGAUUCUGCUGUUUAUUACUGCGCUCGACAGACACAGUGACACAGUGACACA
Molecule: non-coding RNA, 324 nt
Organism: Poecilia reticulata (guppy)
Lineage: Eukaryota; Metazoa; Chordata; Actinopteri; Cyprinodontiformes; Poeciliidae
Source: the annotation of a RefSeq genome assembly